This 1072-nucleotide non-coding RNA is filed under the name Neoscytalidium hyalinum. Its description in RNAcentral is "eukaryotic LSU rRNA". It matches the Rfam family "Eukaryotic large subunit ribosomal RNA", at positions 122 to 1154 of the family's 3401-position model. Lineage: Eukaryota; Fungi; Ascomycota; Dothideomycetes; Botryosphaeriales; Botryosphaeriaceae. The record is from RNAcentral.
UGGCCCCCCCGGGGGUCCGCGUUGUAAUUUGUAGAGGAUGAUUCGGCGAGGGCUCCCGCCUAAGUCCCCUGGAACGGGGCGUCAUAAAGGGUGAGAAUCCCGUAUGCGGUGGGCUGCCUUAGCCAUGUGAAUCUCCUUCGACGAGUCGAGUUGUUUGGGAAUGCAGCUCUAAAUGGGAGGUAAAUUUCUUCUAAAGCUAAAUACCGGCCAGAGACCGAUAGCGCACAAGUAGAGUGAUCGAAAGAUGAAAAGCACUUUGGAAAGAGAGUUAAAAAGUACGUGAAAUUGUUGAAAGGGAAGCGCUUGCAGCCAGACUUGUCCGCAGUUGCUCAGCCGGUCUCCUGACCGGCGCACUCUUCUGCGGCCAGGCCAGCAUCAGUUCGGGCGGUCGGAUAAAGGCCCCGGGAACGUAGCUCCUCUCGGGGAGUGUUAUAGCCCGGGGUGGAAUGCGGCCAGCCUGGACUGAGGAUCUCGCUUCGGCUAGGAUGCUGGCGUAAUGGCUGUAAGCGGCCCGUCUUGAAACACGGACCAAGGAGUCUAACAUCUAUGCGAGUGUUUGGGUGUCAAACCCAUGCGCGUAAUGAAAGUGAACGGAGGUGGGAACCCUCGCGGGUGCACCAUCGACCGAUCCUGAUGUCUUCGGAUGGAUUUGAGUAAGAGCAUAGCUGUUGGGACCCGAAAGAUGGUGAACUAUGCCUGAAUAGGGUGAAGCCAGAGGAAACUCUGGUGGAGGCUCGCAGCGGUUCUGACGUGCAAAUCGAUCGUCAAAUUUGGGUAUAGGGGCGAAAGACUAAUCGAACCAUCGACUACUAGGUGGUUAAGAGGUGGCUGAAAGUGCCCACCUAGUCCCCCCGUCCGAGGACGGGGGGGCGACAUCGCCAAAUUGCGGGGACUCCCUUAGAGCCUCUACUACCGCGGCCGGCCGAAAGGCGCGGUGCAGCACCGGGUUAAUUGCCUAGGGUACGGUAAAAAGGUAGAGGAUUGGGAAAUCCGCAGCCAAGCGCCUAAGUCCCGCGGGAUACGGCGAAGGUUCAGAGACUAGAUGGCGGUGGGUCCGGCCCGAGGGCCGGGC